GGACGAACGCUGGCGGCGUGCUUAACACAUGCAAGUCGAACGGUGACCUGGAGAGCUUGCUCUUUGGUGAUCAGUGGCGAACGGGUGAGUAACACGUGAGCAACCUGCCCCAGACUCUGGAAUAACCCCGGGAAACCGGAGCUAAUACCGGAUAUGACGCCGGGCCGCAUGGCCAUGGUGUGGAAAGUUUUUCGGUCUGGGAUGGGCUCGCGGCCUAUCAGCUUGUUGGUGAGGUAGUGGCUCACCAAGGCGACGACGGGUAGCCGGCCUGAGAGGGCGACCGGCCACACUGGGACUGAGACACGGCCCAGACUCCUACGGGAGGCAGCAGUGGGGAAUAUUGCACAAUGGGCGCAAGCCUGAUGCAGCGACGCCGCGUGAGGGAUGACGGCCUUCGGGUUGUAAACCUCUUUCAGCAGGGAAGAAGCGCAAGUGACGGUACCUGCAGAAGAAGCACC
RNAcentral lists this ribosomal RNA (458 nucleotides) under uncultured bacterium. RNAcentral describes it as "bacterial SSU rRNA". It matches the Rfam family "Bacterial small subunit ribosomal RNA", at positions 27 to 494 of the family's 1533-position model. The record is from RNAcentral.